UGUCAGAAAUAGCUGUCUGACUUUGAGGUACUGCAACAGCAGAGGGCACCAAUACUCCUUGGAAGCACCAAAUAUUUAAAACCAAACCAACGAAGAAGAAGAUAGCGCCACUUCUAACGGUCCAGACCUGGUCCAGACACUCCUGCUCAGCAAGGGAGCCCAGCAGCAUCCUGCACCGAACCAACAACCUUCUCUUUCAAAGGUGGUGAUCCAAAUCAGUGUGGAGCAGAAUGCACCAUAGAGAUGUACAACUCUCCUGUUGAACACCUCAAGACUGAAGACUACAAGGAAAGAACGCUAAUCUACACCGAGCAUCUGAAGAACAACAAACAAGUCCUCCAGCACAUUGAAUCCAAAACCUGUUCCAGUUCCUCAGACACCAUCAGAGACUGUUUUGAAAGCCCUCUACGAUCAGGUCUGGAUAAAAAGAAACUUUGCCAACCACUGCAAGUAUCAAGUGUUUUAAAUUUUGUUUGACUGUUUAUUAUGUACUUAUUUGUUUUGGGUUGUAUUAAGUUUGAUAUUAAUUAGAUCAGUGCCUUUUUAGUCAUUAAUUUGAUUAUUAAGUAUUAAUUGUUUAGGGCAGCAUGGUGGUUAGCACUGUUGCUGCACAGCAAGAAGGUUCUGAGUUCAAUUCCACCAUCAGGCCGGGGUCUUUCUGUGUGGAGUUUG
This is a long non-coding RNA of Oreochromis niloticus (Nile tilapia), 672 nucleotides long. RefSeq lists it as uncharacterized. The record is from RefSeq and is a predicted model, not a curated record. The transcript is spliced from 3 exons. NCBI's taxonomy places the organism in Eukaryota, Metazoa, Chordata, Actinopteri, Cichliformes, Cichlidae.